UUUUAAGAAUUUGAAGUAUGAUAAAAAUGUAAGUCUCCGAAGAAGCACGCGCGUUUAAAUAUCGUAAUUUACUUGACAAGUUAUGGAAAGGUGACUUAAUUAGAGAAAAAAACUGCAGUCGAGGACAGCUUUCUCGAGGCGACUUCAUUGCAGGGAAACUCUGUGGCUCUUAAUAUGAUAGUUUCUAGGAAAAACUGCUUCGACGUGACCGAAACGACAUUCUUUCGUUCGAUGGAAGUAGCAUCUUAAAGUUAGUUUCCUUUUUACAAGAAUCGAGAAUGCUACUUAUUGAUAAAUGUUUUACUAAUAUUAAUUCGAAGAUUUGAAAUUUGAUAAAAUUGGCAUCUAAAAGAUAUAUCAUUAUUUAAAGAUUUCUCGAUAUUAUCGAAUAGAAUGAAAUUUUUAUCGAAAUUAUUUCUAUUUUUAAACGAUUCUCGAAUUAAUUUAGAUAUUUUAAAAAGAUACUUAUGUGUUUAAUAUGUCAAAGAUAUCUAUUUUAGGUAAUCAGUUUUUAAAGAAUUUUUCACAAAUUUAAGUGAUAUCUUUUUUCUUUUAAACGAAAACGAUAUUUUUUAUACGAAUUUACGAAAAAUACAAAACACGUUCGAAACUGAAAUUCUAUUAGUAAAACUUUGCAGAACAGCGAGAACGGAAUAUUGAUAAAUGUCUGCAACAACAAAGAUACAAAACAAUUUCCCUUUUUCACUAGAAUAAACGCGUCUAUCAUUUAAUUACAAGAUUUUUACCAAUAAAAAUGACGUUGUUUAAAAUAUUCGAGAAAGAAAAUUCCUUCGAUAACAUUUAUUGGUAAAAUUAUUCAAAUGUACACACUCGUAUAAUCCUAACACGUCGAUUUACCCUUCGAUCCCAAGAUUCCAGGAACUCGCUCAAAGACAAAGCACGUAAGAGUAUGUAAAUCCCGCGAAGUAGAUUACUAGCUCAGAGGGGCACGGUUUUCCAUCGGGGGAGGCUCUCUCAACCAACGGAGAAAGACAGAAAGAAAGGUAGGAAGAGAGGGAGUCAAUUUCAUCGGGCACGGAAACUUUAAUUUCAAUCGAACUUGCCGACAGAAUAAUAAUAAUACUAAAGCCAGUAGUAGGUACCCUCGUAACCCAACAAACAGAGAGGAGGAGGAGGAGAAGGAGGAGGAACAGGAGAAGGAGGAGAAGGAGGAGGAACCUAUUAAGAAUCAACUUCACCAACGAGACUUAGAAAUCGUUAACGCAUCGGAAUGCCACUAAAACUAUAUCCCAUCCCUCGCUAGGGGUGCGAACUCGAAUCGAAGGAAGGAAGGGAGGACUAUUUAAAAAAACGGAUACGUGAUUCGAAAACAAAGAGAAGAAAAACGCAAAAUGCAUCGUUUACCUGAAGAAUAUGGGUACCCUGAUGUACAUCGAAGUGGUCCAUAGCAGCGGAUGCCGAUGACCUAACUCGAUUCGCACCUGGAAUCAGAAAACGUGGCGCGUUAUUAAAGGCGAUGAUAUAUGUCCAUCAUCUAUUUGAAUGGGCUCGGUUCAACGCGAUAUUUAACAUUCUGUUUUUUCAUCGUAGUUAAGUUUAGACGCUUCCGUAAAGAAUAUGACAGGUCCAUAGUUAUCGCUUAGGUAUACGUGUGUUAAAAAGAUAGAUUUGUAUUCGUCAGAUGGCGUCAAAGUUGCAUAUUGCCGUGCAUAUCGCGAACGAUGAAUAGUAAUGAACAAACGGAACUCGAUAAAUCAACAUUCCGUGGUGGUUUCUCUCGAUCACCCAUUUCUGACACAAAUUUCAUUAAAAGAAGGAAAUCACGUCAAUCUAAUAAACAAUUAACUCAUCGU
RNAcentral lists this long non-coding RNA (1814 nucleotides) under Apis dorsata (giant honeybee). Its description in RNAcentral is "uncharacterized LOC102681320". The record is from RNAcentral. Lineage: Eukaryota; Metazoa; Arthropoda; Insecta; Hymenoptera; Apidae.